This is a long non-coding RNA of Cyprinus carpio (common carp), 1363 nucleotides long. The record is from Ensembl. Lineage: Eukaryota; Metazoa; Chordata; Actinopteri; Cypriniformes; Cyprinidae.
CAGCCAUGUCGCAAACGACGUAGAAUACAAAUACAUUUCUAAGAUUUUCUUAAUUUCGCGAGUAUUUUUUCCUGUAUUUUAAAUUACACUUCACUGAGAUAAACGGAUGAAAGACUGAUUUGCGAGAAAAUGACUUCAGCUAUGUACCUAAACGACUAUCGAUUAUCCACCUUUUUCCUCAACGCGGAAGUGAGCCUAUUGGUGAGACUUUCGUUUCAUUAGCCGCUAUAGGUAAAUAACGAUAAGAAUAACAACGUGCAGUAAACAGCAAAACUGUUUGCAGUACAAACUAGUGUUCUUUAUUAAGAUAACAGAUUAAAAUAAUGAUAGAACACAUCAACUGUUUUGUAAAGCUAAAAAUAAGGUUUACCACUAAAAAACAAUCAACAAGUACAACCUAAUUCACAUGUGACGUGAGUAUUAGGCACGUCUCUCCAAGUCUAGCCAACGUGCGCAUCGGCUAGCUUUUCAAUACUUUUUUCUUCGCGUGAUUAAGAGGAAAUGCAUGUGUUUUAAACCUAAUAACCUUUAAGUUGCACGUUAAAAAAAAAAAAAAAAAAAAACCCGCUGCAGUUCUCGCUCCUGCAGGAGCCUCUAUCUAUAUCUCUCCGCUCCCACAGGAGCUUUUCCCUAUUUUCUCCACUGCCGCUGCAGUGUCCGCUUCCGCAGGAACCUAUAUCUAUAUUUCUCCACUCCCACAGGAGCUUUUCCCUAUUUUCUCCACUGCCGCUGCAGUGUCCGUUCCCGCAGGAGCCUCUAUUUAUAUUUCUCCACUGCCGCUGCAGUUCUUGCUCCCGCAGGAGCCUCUAUCUAUAUUUCUCCACUGCCGCUGCAGUUUCUUGCUCCCGCAGGAGCCUCUAUCUAUAUUUCUCCACUGCUGCAGCAGCGAACGUUUUCACAGAAGCCAAGGAAGGAGAAAGAGAGAAAAAAAAAAAAAAAAAAAAAAAAAAACCUGGCCCUUAUCAAACAAUAGCCUUUAAAAUUACCUGAAAUACAUAUAUAAUUGCAAUGAGGCCUCGGUGAUUGGUUUAAAUGAGGUAUGAAAAGCAAUUAACGAUACCGUUCUAUUGAACAAACUUAACGUACUUUAAACAACAUAAUGUACAUGCAUUGUCAAAAGCCUUCAAAUGGCACCAACUUCCCGAUGAUUGUUUCUCCAUGUCACUGUGCAAUUUAAUCCUCGUUUGGCUAAACAUUUAAUUCAAAUGUACACUUAAUCUUGAAUUUUUAAACAAUUCUUUACAACAGAGGUGCUACGGCAAUCAUAAAUCCUUGAAGGUGGAAAUCAAAAGUUGCCAUUUUUCAUCCGAGCCCUCUUGAUGUAAAAAAUAAAUAAAUAAAAAUUAAUAAUAAUUUUACUUAC